Molecule: ribosomal RNA, 460 nt
Filed under: uncultured beta proteobacterium
Lineage: Bacteria; Pseudomonadati; Pseudomonadota; Betaproteobacteria
Description: bacterial SSU rRNA
Rfam family: Bacterial small subunit ribosomal RNA
Source: RNAcentral
AAGCAGGGGAUCGUAAGACCUUGUGCUUUUGGAGUGGCCGAUGCCUGAUUAGCUAGUUGGUGGGGUAAAGGCCUACCAAGGCGACGAUCAGUAGUUGGUCUGAGAGGGCGACCAGCCACACUGGGACUGAGACACGGCCCAGACUCCUACGGGAGGCAGCAGUGGGGAAUUUUGGACAAUGGGCGAAAGCCUGAUCCAGCAAUGCCGCGUGAGUGAAGAAGGCCUUCGGGUUGUAAAGCUCUUUCAGUCGAGAAGAAAAAGUUGCGACGAAUAAUCGUAACUCAUGACGGUAUCGACAGAAGAAGCACCGGCUAACUACGUGCCAGCAGCCGCGGUAAUACGUAGGGUGCGAGCGUUAAUCGGAAUUACUGGGCGUAAAGGGUGCGCAGGCGGCUUUGUAAGUCAGAUGUGAAAUCCCCGGGCUUAACCUGGGAACUGCGUUUGAAACUACAAGGCUAGA